GCGGGAAUGGCGGAAUUGGCAGACGCGCCAGGUUGAGGGCCUGGUGGGGGUUAACCCCGUGGGAGUUCAAAUCUCCCUUCCCGCA
This 85-nucleotide transfer RNA is filed under the name Planctomycetota bacterium. Its description in RNAcentral is "tRNA-Leu". It matches the Rfam family "tRNA". Rfam says of the family: Transfer RNA (tRNA) molecules are approximately 80 nucleotides in length. The record is from RNAcentral. Lineage: Bacteria; Pseudomonadati; Planctomycetota.